UAGCAUAUCAUAUUUCUAUAUUAUUUUAGUGAAAUUAAAUAUAAAACUUGUAACGUGGUUAAAAGUAAUAAGGAUAAAUUAGUAACUUUGGUGGUAAUCGAUUUUAAUAUAUUAUUAAUAGAUUAUUUAAUAAGCAUUCAAUCUCUCCAAUUCAAUACCUCUUAAAAAGUUUUAAGUGGCCUGAUAGAGUAAAAUAGUAAAAAGUUAAUAAUUAUUUGAAUAAUAAAAGUAAGAUUUUAGCCUUUUUUUUAUCACGGAAGGCUAAAAACAAAGUGUGUAAGGUUAACCCUUGUGACAAGUGAAAAUUGGAUUUUCACUUGUUUAUCUUUUUAUAUUAGGUGAAAUGAUUAAUUGAGUGAGUUAAAGAUGAACCAACGAUUCAAUAAUAUAGUUAGUUAAGAGACAUUUAAUAAUCAUUAUGACUUUUGGAAAAAUUACUUGUAACUUUAUAAAAAGUGUAAAAAAAAAUGAUGUAAAAAUCAAAUACAAUAGAUUUUACAGUAUAACUAUAAAGUGGUUAAACAAUUUCCUAUACUACAUUUGUUAUAAGUAGAGGUGGGGAACAUAUGGCUCACAUUGACAUUGUCAUGUUUUUAAAGGCUAUUAUUCUCUUUCUUUUCCUAUUUACUGUUGUAACCAAUGGUGCAUAUAUUAGAAAAUGUAAGCAAGACAGACACUGUAUGGAUUUUUGUUUCUUUCCCAACUAUGGGUUAUGCCUUGCGGGCAUAUGUAGAUGCACAUUUUAGUAGGAGUUGAGUUUAAAAAUAUCAUUGUAUGUUACUUCUAAAUUUAUAAUGUACUUGUCCAUUAAAAUCCACGAGUUUGGUCUGG
Molecule: long non-coding RNA, 831 nt
Organism: Trifolium pratense (red clover)
Lineage: Eukaryota; Viridiplantae; Streptophyta; Magnoliopsida; Fabales; Fabaceae
Exons: 2
Source: RefSeq, a predicted model, not a curated record